GAUGAACGCUGGCGGCGUGCCUAAUACAUGCAAGUCGAGCGAACAGACGAGGAGCUUGCUCCUCUGACGUUAGCGGCGGACGGGCGAGUAACACGUGGAUAACCUACCUAUAAGACUGGGAUAACUUCGGGAAACCGGAGCUAAUACCGGAUAAUAUAUUGAACCGCAUGGUUCAAUAGUGAAAGACGGUUUUGCUGUCACUUAUAGAUGGAUCCGCGCCGCAUUAGCUAGUUGGUAAGGUAACGGCUUACCAAGGCAACGAUGCGUAGCCGACCUGAGAGGGUGAUCGGCCACACUGGAACUGAGACACGGUCCAGACUCCUACGGGAGGCAGCAGUAGGGAAUCUUCCGCAAUGGGCGAAAGCCUGACGGAGCAACGCCGCGUGAGUGAUGAAGGUCUUCGGAUCGUAAAACUCUGUUAUUAGGGAAGAACAAAUGUGUAAGUAACUAUGCACGUCUUGACGGUACCUAAUCAGAAAGCCACGGCUAACUACGU
RNAcentral lists this ribosomal RNA (496 nucleotides) under uncultured bacterium. RNAcentral's name for it is "partial 16S ribosomal RNA". It matches the Rfam family "Bacterial small subunit ribosomal RNA", at positions 28 to 506 of the family's 1533-position model. The record is from RNAcentral.